UACGGGGGGGGUAAGCGUUGUUCGGAAUUACUGGGCGUAAAGCGCACGUAGGCGGCUUUGUAAGUUAGAGGUGAAAGCCCGGAGCUCAACUUCGGAAUUGCCUUUAAGACUGCAUCGCUAGAAUCAUGGAGAGGUCAGUGGAAUUCCGAGUGUAGAGGUGAAAUUCGUAGAUAUUCGGAAGAACGCCAGUGGCGAAGGCGACUGACUGGACAUGUAUUGACGCUGAGGUGCGAAAGCGUGGGGAGCAAACAGG
This 253-nucleotide ribosomal RNA is filed under the name uncultured bacterium. Its description in RNAcentral is "partial 16S ribosomal RNA". It matches the Rfam family "Bacterial small subunit ribosomal RNA", at positions 524 to 776 of the family's 1533-position model. The record is from RNAcentral.